RNAcentral lists this unclassified non-coding RNA (360 nucleotides) under Hevea brasiliensis (rubber tree). The record is from RNAcentral. Lineage: Eukaryota; Viridiplantae; Streptophyta; Magnoliopsida; Malpighiales; Euphorbiaceae.
GUGAACUUCUUGCUUAAGAUCAAAGCGGAGCUCGAGAACCUCACCAAUCUUCAGCCCCAAGAUGGUUGCGACGACCCCAACUUCGCUUACCUUUUCAAAGUGAAAUGCGGGAGAUGCGGGGAGGUGAGCCAGAAAGAAACGUGUGUGACCUUGAAUGAAACUGUUCCUCUCCAAGCGGGUAAAGGGACUACUAAUCUAGUUCAAAAGUGCAAGUUCUGUGGGAGGGAUGGAACUAUCACAAUGAUUCCAGGGCGAGGUCAACCAUUGACUCAGGAAACAAGUGAAUCAGGAAAGUCAUCUCCCUUGAUGUUAUUUGACUGCAGAGGUUACGAGCCUACGGACUUCGUAUUUGGACCUGGA